GGAUCCAUUCGUUUUAAACACAUAUCCAGGCAAAUUUAUGUGCAUUCUACAGCAUUGCCACAUGAAAAGAACAUGCAAAAAUUUACUGGUGAGUCGUGAGACCACAAAUUUUUUUGUUACAACUUACAAACCACAUAAAAAGAGACUAGCCAUCAACCAAAAGAGAGGCCAAUUAUCACCAACAAUGUACUAGACAAUGUACAUCAAUCCAUCCCAUGACCGAAUCAAUAAAAAAAAUGGACUGCAAUAGUUUUACUCCUUGGACGACUUGUUGAUUAG
This 279-nucleotide unclassified non-coding RNA is filed under the name Hevea brasiliensis (rubber tree). Lineage: Eukaryota; Viridiplantae; Streptophyta; Magnoliopsida; Malpighiales; Euphorbiaceae. The record is from RNAcentral.